GAGUUUGAUCCUGGCUCAGGACGAACGCUGGCGGCGCGCCUAACACAUGCAAGUCGAACGGAGCUUAGAGAGCUUGCUUUUUAAGCUUAGUGGCGAACGGGUGAGUAACGCGUGAGUAACCUGCCCUAGAGUGGGGGACAACAGUUGGAAACGACUGCUAAUACCGCAUAAGCCCACGGUACCGCAUGGUACUGAGGGAAAAGGAUUUAUUCGCUUUAGGAUGGACUCGCGUCCAAUUAGCUAGUUGGCGGGGUAACGGCCCACCAAGGCGACGAUCAGUAGCCGGACUGAGAGGUUGAACGGCCACAUUGGGACUGAGACACGGCCCAGACUCCUACGGGAGGCAGCAGUGGGGAAUAUUGCACAAUGGGGGAAACCCUGAUGCAGCGACGCCGCGUGAGCGAAGAAGUAUUUCGGUAUGUAAAGCUCUAUCAGCAGGGAAGAUAAUGACGGUACCUGACUAAGAAGCACCGGCUAAAUACGUGCCAGCCGCCGCGGUAAUAC
This 504-nucleotide ribosomal RNA is filed under the name uncultured bacterium. RNAcentral's name for it is "bacterial SSU rRNA". It matches the Rfam family "Bacterial small subunit ribosomal RNA", at positions 9 to 526 of the family's 1533-position model. The record is from RNAcentral.